This 6897-nucleotide long non-coding RNA is filed under the name Fragaria vesca (wild strawberry). Its description in RNAcentral is "long non-coding RNA (FVES_LNC000148)". The record is from RNAcentral. Lineage: Eukaryota; Viridiplantae; Streptophyta; Magnoliopsida; Rosales; Rosaceae.
UUGCUCUGAAUCUGUGAUUGUUGGUUGUGAGUUUUUCUUAUUAAAGUUGCUAAAUAAAUUGGGAGAUGUUGUGAUUUGGGGAGCACGAAGGCUCCAGGAGUAGAGGGUUAUAGAUGGAUUCUUUUAAAGUGAACGCAUGUAUUAUUAGGAAGGGUUGUCCAUUUUCAAGGGAGCUUAUUUCAAAUUUUCGGUAAAUUUUCCUUGGAGGUGGUCCCCGCAGGAUUUACUUCGGGUUUCAAGGUGAAAUUCGGGGUGGGUCUUGACACCUAGGGCCACCAAGAAGUUGCCAUGAUUCGCCAUGACUCGCCUAGGCCCGUCAAAAGACUGCCUUUACACGCCUUGACCGUCCUAGGCCCGCCUAGGGCCACCAAUUGACCCGUCUAGGGCCGCCAAGGGCCACCUUAACCAGCCUUAGGCCGUCUUGACCCAUCUUGGCUUGCCUUGGCCCUCCUCGGCCCUUCUAGGACCACCUAUGGCUGCCAAGGGGGAGCCAUGAGCCACCUAGAGCCACCAAGCGGCUGCCUUUACACACCUAGGUCUGUUUUGACCUCCCUAGGGCCUUUCAUGACCCGCCUAGGGCCGCCAAGGGGCUGCCUACAGACGCCUUGGGGUUACCUUGACCCGUCUAGGGCCGCCCAGACUCACUUUGGCCUGUUUUGGGCCGCUUUGACCCUCCUUUACUCGCCUUGGACCGCCUUUACCCGCCUUGGACCGCCUUAACCCGCCUUGGACCGCCUUGACCCGCCUUAGACUGCCUUGACCCGCCAUGGGCCGUCUUGACCCGCCUUGAACCGCCUUAGGCCGCCUUGACCCUCCUAGACCCGCCUAGGGCCGCCUUGACCGCCUUGAGCGUUGAGCCGCCUUGACCAAUCUUGGGCCGCCUUUACACGCCUUGAACCGCCUUGACCCUCCUAGACCCGCCUAGGGCCGGCUUGACCCUCCUAGACCCGUCAAGAGGCCGCCUAGGGCCACCAUGGGGCCACCUUGACCCGCCUUGGCCCUGCCUUGACCCGCUUUGGCCUGCCUUGACCCUCCUAGACCCGCCUAGGGCCACCAAGAAGUCGUCAUGACUUGCCAUGACCCGUCAAGGGGCUGCCUUUACGACCAUCCUAGGCCCGCCUGUUAGGGUUGUACGUGGCUCAAAACUGAUUCCUUGUCUGUUUUGGAGUUUUUACUUCUGAAGGUCUGAAGGCUUUGGGUAAGUUAUUCUAGUGUGUCUAGGAUUCUUAGAGUUUAUCCUUAGAAGUAAUGGUUUAGGAUCCCUGUUAUGGUUCUAAAUCUUAUUGUAAGUCAGACUAGUUGAGAGUCUAUAAAUAGGACCUUAGAGACAUAGUUUUAGGUGUGGAUCAAUUGAGAGUUUAGAGAUUCAAGAGUUGCAAGCUUUGAAAGUUUGGGUGAUUUAAGAGUGUUCUCUGCUGAGAAUCUAGAGUGUGAGGAGAGAGGUUAUUUGAGGGUGAAGAACCGUAUUGUUCUUCAGUUGUAAUCUUCUUCUUGUUUAGUGGAUCCACCAUCACCAUCACCGGAAGACGUAGGUCAACUGUUUUGACCGAACAUCGUUAAUAUCUUGUGUUCGCUUGCAUUGAUUUUGGUUAUUGUCUUCAUUCAGUUAUGAUCUUGGGCUAAGGAAUUCAGAGGGUGACCCAUCUAGGGACGCCCUGACCCGCUUUGGCCCGUCUUGGGCCGCCUUGAACCGCCUAGGGCCACCAAGAACCGCCAUGACCCUCCUAGGCUCGUGUUGGGCCGCCAAGAGACCGCCUUAACCCGUCUUGACCCGCCUUGACCCGUCUUGACCAUCCUAAGCCCACCUAGGGUAGCCAAAGGGCUGCCUUUACACUCCUUGACCCGUCUAGGGCCGCCAAGAGGCCGGCCGCCUUGACACUCCUAGGGCCGCUAAGGGGACGUCUUGACCCGCCAAGGGCUGCCUUUACACGCUUAGGGCUGUUUUGACCUCCCUAGGGCCCGCCAUGACUCGCCUAGGGCCUCCGCCUUGGGGUCACCUUGACCUCCAAAGGGCACGCCUUUACCCGCCUUGACUAGCCUUGGGCUGCCUUUACACGCCUUGACCCUCGUAGGCCCGCCUAGGGCCACCUUGACCCGUGUACGGCCGUCAAGGGCCGCCUUAACCCUCCUUGACCUGCCUAGGGCUACCAAGGGGGACGCCUAGACACACCUAGGUUCACCAACGGGACGUCUUAACCUACCAAGGGGCUGCGUUUACACGCCUAGGUCUGUUUUGACCUCCUUAGGGCCCACCAUGACCCGCCUAGGGCCACCAAGGGGCUGCCUACGGCCGCCAUGGGGCUACCUUGACCCGUCUAGGGCCGCCUUUACCUACCUUGGCCCAUCUUGGGCCGCUUUAACCCGCCUUUAACCCGUAUUUACCCGCCCUGGACCGCCUUUACCCGCCUUGGGCCACCUUUACCCUUUUAGGGCCGCCUUGAUCCUCUUAGGGCCGCCUUGACCCUCCUAGGGCAGCCUUGACCCACCUUGACCCGUCUAGGGACGUGCCUUGACCUGCCUUGGCCCACCUUGACCCGCCUUAACCCUCCUAGACCCCACCUAGGGCCACCAAGAAGCCGCCAUGANNNNNNNNNNNNNNNNNNNNCCUUGACCCGCCUUAACCUGCCUUGACUUGCCUUAGGGCGCCUAGACCCGCGCUUGACCGCCUUGACCCACCUUGACUUGCCUUGACCCUCCUAGACCUGCCUAGGGCCACCAAGAAGCCGCCACGACUCGCCAUGACCCGUCAAGGGGUUGCAUUUACACGCCUUGACCCUCCUAGGCCCGCCUAAGGCCACCUUGACCAGUGUACGGCCGACAAGGGCCGCCUUAACCCGCCUUAGGCCGGCUGGACCCGUCUUAACCCUCUUUGACCCGCUUAGGGCCGCCAAAGGGGACGCCUUGACACGCCUAGGGUCGCCAAAGGGAUGUCUUGACCUGCCAAGGGGCUGCCUUUACACGCCUAGGUCUGUUUUAACCUCCUUAGGGCCCGCCAUGACACGCCUAGGGCCACCAAGGGGCUGCCUACGGCCGCCAUGGGGCUACCUUGACCCGUUUAGGGCCGCCUUGACCCCCUUUUGCCCGUCUUGGGCCGCUUUGACCCAUCUUGGCCCGCCUUGGACCUGCCUUGACCCGCCUUGGACUUGCCUUGACCCGCCUUGGGCCACCUUGACCCUCUUAAGGCCGCCAAGGGGUUGGGUUCACUCGCCUAAGGCCGCUAAGGGGACGUCUUGACCCGCCAAGGGGCUGCCUUUACACACCUAGGGCUAUUUUAACCUACCUAGGGCCUGCCAUGACCCGCCUAGGGCCACCUUGACCUUGUUAGGCCAGCCUAGGGCAGCCGAGAGGGCGCCAAGACCCACCUUGGGUCGUCAAGAGGCCACCUUGACCCGUCUAAGGACCAGCCUUGACCUGCCUGGGCCCACCUUGUCCCGCCUUGGGCCACCUUGACCCUUCUUAGACCACCGAAAAGCCUCCUUAAAUCGCUAAGGGGGCCGCCUUAACACACCAAGGGCCGCCAAGGGGACGUCUUGACCUGCCAAGGGGUUGUCUAUACACGCCAAGGUCUGUUUUGACCUCUCUAGGGCAGCCUUGACCCACCUAGGGCCACCAAAAAGCCGCCAUCAGUCGCCAUGACCCUCCUAGGCUCGUUUAGGGCAGCCAAGGAGCCGCCUUCACCCUCCUAGGCCCACCUAGGGCAGCCAAAGGGCGCCUUGACUUGCCUUGGACCGCCUUGGAACGCCUUGGGUCGCCUUAGCCCGCUUUUGACCGCCUUGACCCACCUUGACUUGCCUUAGGCCGCCUAGACCCGCGUUUGACCGCCAUGACUUGCCUUGACCCUCCUAGGGCCACCACCAAGGGGCUGCCUUUACACGCCAAGGUUUGUUUUGACCUCUCUAGGGCCCGCCUUGAUCCGCUUUAACCCUCAUAGACCCACCUAGGGCCACAAGAAAGCCGCCAUGACUCGCCAAGGGGUCGCCAUGACCCUCCUAGGCCCGUCUAGGGCAUCCAAGGUGCCAUCUUGACCCGCCUUGACCCCUCUCGACUCUUCUAGGCCCACCUAGGGCAGCCAAGGGGCGGCCAAGGGGUGCCUUGACCCGCCUUGGACUGCUUUAACCAGCCUUGGAACGUCUUGGGCCGUCUUUGACCGCCUUGGGCCGCCUUGACCUGUAUUGGGCCGCCAUGACCAGCCUUGACCCACCUCUGAUUGCCUUGACCCGCGUUGACUUGCCUUGGGCCGCCAUGACCCGCCUUGAACCGCCUUGGGCCACCUUAACCUUUCCUUGACCCGCCUUGGGCUGCCUUCACCCGCCUUUACCCGCCAUAGGCAGCCUUGACCCGCCAAGGGGCCGCCUAGGGCCGCCUUGACCCGCCUUAACCUGCCUAUGGCCACCAAGGGGCGCCUUGACCCGGCUAGGGCCGCCUUCACCAGGUUAGGGCCGCCUUGACCCUUUUAGGGCCGUCUUGACCCGCCUUUACCCGCCUUGACAUGCCUUCACCAGGUUAGGGCCGCCUUUACCCGUCUAGAGCCGCCUUUACCCAUAUUCGCCCGCCUUGACCCUCCUAAGGCAGCCAAGAGUCCACCUUGACCCCGCUAGGGCCGCCAAGGGGCUGCGUUCACCCAUCCAAGGCCACCAAGGGGCUGCCUUGACCUUGCUAGGACCGCUAAGCUAAGGGGCCGCGUUCACUCAUCUAAGGCCGCCAAGGGGCUGCCAUGACCCUCCUAGACCCGCGUAGGGCCGCCUUGACCCUCCUAGGCCCUCCUUGGCUCACCUAGGCCCACCAAGGGGCCGCCAUGACUCACCAAGGGGUCGCCAUGACCCUCUUAGGCCUGUGUAGGGCCGUCAAGCGGCCGCCUUGACCCCGUUAGGGCCGCCAAAGGGUUACGUUCACUCGUCUAAGGCGGCCCCGCCAAAGGGCUGCCUUAAUGUAACAUCCUGGAAUUUCAGUUUUCUAUUUUUAAAAGGAAAAUUAUUUAAGAACUAUUUUUAUUUCGAUUUCUUUAUCCAUUCAAAUUCUUUGUAGCUUUCGAAAAUUAUUCAAAUUUUUUAGUUUGUCGAAAAUUUUCUUUCGAGCCCAUAAGAUUAAACUAGACGUCGUUACGAGUUCGUAGGAUUUUUUCGGAGCAUCGUUUGGACUUCGAAGCUAUUUUUAAUGAUUUUUGGAAGUUGGUAUUAUCCAAAAUUUUAAUUAAAAAUAGAAUAUUUGUUGGCAUGAUCUGGGUCGUCAGAUCUUUUUAACCGUCUAAUCUAGGCCGUUGGAUUGGAGUAUAUAUAAUUUGGAUUAGCUUGGACUGCAACAUAACACAGCUCAGACCGACUUCGGUCUCGAGCUGCUCUGCAGCAACGGAGCUCGGAGGCAUCGUUCGUCAUCCGGCCAUCUCUCGGCGCAAGACCGGCGUCCUUAGGUCCGUCUCGUCGUCCCCAACCUCCUUGUGAUUCUAGCUUGAAGAGUGGAGCUCCGGUGAGAGAGAAAAGGAGGAGAGAAGGCAAUUGUGUUUCGGAUCGGGUUUUCGAUUCCGGCAGCGAGCGUGAAUGGUAGUGGAAGCUUCCUCUCGUCCUUGUGGUCUUCCCUAUGUCCUCAGUUUCUUCAGAAGAGGUCGGGAGAGAGAGAUUCGAAGUGGAGAAGGAAAGACUGGGUUCACCGGCGAGUUAUCGAUUCUGGCCAAGUCGUGAUCUCUCACCAGUGUGAAUAGCUUUGUCUCCUUAUCCUCGACGUCCAUGUAACUUCAGCUUGUCGAGACGAGGUCAGGUGAGGGAGAAUCGAAGAGAAGAAGUUUUGGGAUUUUCCGGCAAGGGUUCGAUGUUUUCCGGCCAUCGGCGAAGGCAAGCGAGGUAUCAAUCUUCAUCUACUCGUCAAGCUUUACAUGUUUCUAUAAUUGGAAUUGAGUUUGGUUGAGGUUUGGAGGAAGUUGGGUUUUAGGCAGUGGAGGACUGCCGUAUGUGCCGCUGUGCACGGCGGCGAUGGCGGUGGUUUUGGAAGUUGGUUUCCGGCUUUAUUAGUGUAUUGAAUUGGUUUGAGUGAUUGCAAAUGCUUGAAUUUGAGAAUUGGAGGAGUUGAUGAUCGGAACUCGGAAGGUAUUGUUUUAGUUGGAAGGUGUAGAACAAUAGCCACUGUUAUUGUUGUUAUUAUUGCUGUUAUUGCUGUUAAUGUCCAAACGCCAUUCUUAGUGUGUUUGAUAAAGAGAUGAUGGAACAUAAAUUGUGGAAGUUAGAAGAAAGAUGUUGAAUUGUAUUGUUGAAGUGAUCGGUCAUGAACUAGUAGGUUGGCUUGUUGGUUAUGGAAGUUGUCGUAUAUAUAGACAUAUUCAUUGUGAAUUGUGAAGUGCAGGAGGUUUAGUAUGUUAGUUUCUUAAGUAAAAAGAAAUUAAUGUAUUAGACUUGAAGAAGAAUGUGUGAUCAGGACACUUGAGAGGAAAUGCAGAUUAAGGCUUUGGGUGUCCAUAGCAAUUUGAAGGAUGGAAUGGAAGAAUUGAACACUUGUUUUUGGGUGUCUAUAAUUUCAUAAUUAGACUAUGAAGGUCAAUGGAAUCGAAGGAUGAUGGUUUUGGGUGUACAAAGUAAUUUCAGAAAUUUGGAUAGAAAUGGGUGCAAUUGGAAUAUGACGACGCACUUGGGUGUCCUUAGUAAAUUUCCGAAUUAGAUCAAGCUGAUGUGAAGUGACCUGUCAACAUUCUCGGAAUGAAGAUUGAGUAUGAGGAUUGAAUGCGAGGAGCUGGAUUGCAGAAGUAGAAGAAUAAGGAUUUUAGAAGUGUGUCGCCGAGUUACUAAUUUUAGCUAGCGUCAAAAGUAGCUCUCGGAUUCUAGGUAGGGUCUCUCUCUCUCAGGGAACCUCUUUUUAAAUUGAUAAUUAGGUUAUUAUUGAAAUCGGUGCAUUGUGUGGCAUUGGUUGAUAUAA